RNAcentral lists this ribosomal RNA (586 nucleotides) under uncultured bacterium. Its description in RNAcentral is "partial 16S ribosomal RNA". It matches the Rfam family "Bacterial small subunit ribosomal RNA", at positions 355 to 1375 of the family's 1533-position model. The record is from RNAcentral.
UGGGGAAUUUUGGACAAUGGGCGAAAGCCUGAUCCAGCAAUGCCGCGUGUGUGAAGAAGGCCUUCGGGUCGUAAAGCACUUUUGUCCGGAAAGAAAUCCUUGGCUCUAAUACAGUCGGGGGAUGACGGUACCGGAAGAAUAAGCACCGGCUAACUACGUGCCAGCAGCCGCGGUAAUACGUAGGGUGCAAGCGUUAAUCGGAAUUACUGGGCGUAAAGCGUGCGCAGGCGGUUUGCUAAGACCGAUGUGAAAUCCCCGGGCUCAACCUGGGAACUGCAUUGGUGACUGGCAGGCUAGAGUAUGGCAGAGGGGGGUAGAAUUCCACGUGUAGCAGUGAAAUGCGUAGAGAUGUGGAGGAAUACCGAUGGCGAAGGCAGCCCCCUGGGCCAAUACUGACGCUCAUGCACGAAAGCGUGGGGAGCAAACAGGAUUAGAUACCCCGGUAGUCCACGCCCUAAAACGAUGUCAACUAGUUGUUGGGGAUUCAUUUCCUUAGUAACGUAGCUAACGCGUGAAGUUGACCGCCUGGGGAGUACGGUCGCAAGAUUAAAACUCAAAUGAAUUGACGGGGUCAUAGCUGUUUCCU